AUCUACACCCUUGGGAGCAGUAUCUUUGUGUUAACAUCUCCUAAGUGUGUAAACAAAAUCACAGGAACCCGUGAUUUCAAGGAAACACGGAGUAGAUGAGUGUAGGAUUUGACGAGAUCGGAUCCCAUUUUGAGGUGUCUUUCUGCCAUAAACCACCUGACGAUCUUGGGAAUGCUACAUGCCAUCCCUAAAGGAAUCUCUGGGUGGAAUAGAAGCUGUCAUGACAAUAGACGCUGGAGAGAAGAUGCAAUCUCCUCAAUGAGAGACCUUGGCAACAGCCAGGCCAGUAAGGAGUGGCUGCUACUGCUACUGUUUCUUAGACUAUUGAUUAAGCUACUUGUAACCAUGGCAAUGAUCUUGUCUUCCUGGAAAGGUUAGCAGGGUAGGAUGGGCAGUCCGCUAUGGUAAAAAAAGAAAUGUUGAAAUGAA
Molecule: long non-coding RNA, 429 nt
Organism: Cebus imitator (Panamanian white-faced capuchin)
Lineage: Eukaryota; Metazoa; Chordata; Mammalia; Primates; Cebidae
Exons: 2
Source: RefSeq, a predicted model, not a curated record